RNAcentral lists this ribosomal RNA (200 nucleotides) under uncultured bacterium. RNAcentral's name for it is "partial 16S ribosomal RNA". It matches the Rfam family "Bacterial small subunit ribosomal RNA", at positions 28 to 222 of the family's 1533-position model. The record is from RNAcentral.
GACGAACGCUGGCGGCGUGCCUAAUACAUGCAAGUCGAGCGGGCUUUGACCUUCGGGUGAAAGCUAGCGGCGGACGGGUGAGUAACACGUAGGCAACCUGCCCCUUAGAUCGGGAUAACAUUGGGAAACGAAUGCUAAGACCGGAUAAACAACUUGGUCGCAUGAUGAAGUUGGGAAACGCGGAGCAAUCUGCGGCUUGG